Molecule: long non-coding RNA, 1489 nt
Filed under: Solanum tuberosum (potato)
Lineage: Eukaryota; Viridiplantae; Streptophyta; Magnoliopsida; Solanales; Solanaceae
Description: long non-coding RNA (STUB_LNC011192)
Source: RNAcentral
CUCUCCAAAAUUCCACCAAGAUCUUCAACCAAAUUCAAACCUCUCAAGUUCUAAUUCCGAAUUCAAGACUCAAUCUCAAGCAUCAAUUCUCCAUUCCAAUCCUCAUCAAGGAUUCUCCAAAGUUGAGGUAUGUGGGUUGAUUGUGGAAACCUUCCUUUCCACAAGUCCAACCAUUUAUCCUCUAUUUUACUUCAAGUUUAUGGGUCCUUAUGAUCAUUUAUGAACUCUUGAAUUAUGGAAUUAUUACUACACAUCCUAUUAUGGUCUAUUUUUGUAUAUUAUCAUGAAAUGGAAUGAUUAUAUGAUGUUUAUGGUUUUCAUGCCUCAAUGAUCAAAUUAUGAAGGUUGUUAUAUAUGUAUAUAUAUAUGUAUGUUGUUGGUGGGCUGAUUUAUACGUAUUUCGGAAUUGGUUGGACUUAGUACUCUUGAAACACAUGAUUUUAUUUACAUGAACAAGUAGCCCACCAUAUGUUUGAUAAAAUGCCAUUUAUAGAAUUCUUAUGAAAUGGAAGGUCCAAUGUACGUCCUAUGAAUCGAAUGGUUAUAUAAUUAUUGAAAUGAUGAUGAAAUGGACACAUGUAUAUGAUUUUCUCUAUAUACGUGUUGUGAGUCGACCAAGCCUAGUACGGGGGGUAGUAGGCCCGUAUAACCGUAUCGAGGGGUUGGUACCUUGGUUGCCGAGUACGGGGGGUAGUAGGCCCGUAUAACCGUAUCGAGGGGUUGGUACCUUGGUUGCCGAGUACGGGGGGUAGUAGGCCCGUAUAACCGUAUCGAGGGGUUGGUACCUUGGUUGCCGAGUACGGGGGGUAGUAGGCCCGUAUAACCGUAUCGAGGGGUUGGUACCUUGGUUGCCGAGUACGGGGGGUAGUAGGCCCGUAUAACCAUAUCGAGGGGUUUGUACCUUGGUCCCUAGCUCGGGGGGUGGUAGGCCCGGGUAACCACAUUGAGGGGUUUGUACCUCUUUCGCCUCUCCAAGGGGGUGGUAGGCCUUGAAAAUACUAUAUUGAUGGUCACUCACCACACUUGUGCUACGUCCCACUAAAUAUGAUUUUUAUGUAAGCGUCAUUAUAUAUAUAUCGUUUCAUUAAUGUGCUAUCUAACGGGUAUUAUUAUGCAUUUUCCUAUGGUGUCCAUCUAUUGUAGCAUUGCAUUGCAUCCCAUAUACUUAGUACAUUCAAAUGUACUAACGCAUACUCUAUGCCUACAUGAUGUCACCAUGUAGGGACCGGAGCACCGCUUGACCCUCCUCCUCCGCGUGGCUAAUACGAUUUUCUAUCAAGGUUAUUGGUGAGUCCUCCAUUCCGGGGACGUUGCUCAUGAUCUUUUGCUAUGUAUAAGACUUUUUCUUUUUAGUUAUGUUUUGUCUAUGAGGGUGAGCCCGGUAGUUUGUCUUGGCCCCCGCUAAGUACUCAUGUUUAGAGGUGGUGUUGGACAAGUUGUGUAUUAUGCUUGAGCUUGACUCAUCUAUGGUAUUUUUGUAUCAUUCUUA